RNAcentral lists this transfer RNA (73 nucleotides) under Ailuropoda melanoleuca (giant panda). It matches the Rfam family "tRNA". From Rfam's summary of the family: Transfer RNA (tRNA) molecules are approximately 80 nucleotides in length. Lineage: Eukaryota; Metazoa; Chordata; Mammalia; Carnivora; Ursidae. The record is from Rfam by way of RNAcentral.
GUCUGGCAGGCUCAGUGGGUGGAGCAUGGGACUGUUGAUCUUGGGGUUGUGAGUUCAAGACCCACGCUGGGUG